UACAGAGGUCCCAAGCGUUGUUCGGAUUCAUUGGGCGUAAAGGGUGCGUAGGCGGCGCGGUAAGUCGGGUGUGAAAUCUCGGGGCUUAACUCCGAAACUGCAUUCGAUACUGCCGUGCUUGAGGACUGGAGAGGAGACUGGAAUUUACGGUGUAGCGGUGAAAUGCGUAGAUAUCGUAAGGAAGACCAGUUGCGAAGGCGGGUCUCUGGACAGUUCCUGACGCUGAGGCACGAAGGCCAGGGGAGCAAACGGG
RNAcentral lists this ribosomal RNA (253 nucleotides) under uncultured bacterium. Its description in RNAcentral is "partial 16S ribosomal RNA". It matches the Rfam family "Bacterial small subunit ribosomal RNA", at positions 524 to 776 of the family's 1533-position model. The record is from RNAcentral.